Molecule: non-coding RNA, 420 nt
Organism: Paramuricea clavata
Lineage: Eukaryota; Metazoa; Cnidaria; Anthozoa; Malacalcyonacea; Plexauridae
Source: the annotation of a GenBank genome assembly
CGUCUAUAUUCUUCAUGUUAAAUUUCUUCUGUCAGGUUGUAUUUGAAGGUAUCCGUGAAGAAAGUCACCAAGGUGGCAUAGCCAUUGAUGACAUUCAUUUCCUCGAUGGAAUAUGCCCUGGAAACAAGGAUGAAGACUAAAGAUGCAAGGUAUUGUCAAAACAUAUUUGUUCUUAUGUUUGUAGAAAACAUCUCGUUUUUCAGUUUUCCAUGCUCGAGCACAGAAAAAAGUGCAGAAACUUAAUAUUGUUCUAUUAAUUUUUUUCAGGUUUGAAAAAUACAGCACCGAAAGAAUGACUUGUUGUACUAAACUUGUAUUUGUUAAAAUGGCUUAUAACAGUAAAAUUCAAUAAAAUAAGAAGAACGACUUUUAAUUUUUUGGGUUUGAGUAAUAAUUAAUAUAAAAAACCUUUGCAUGGAG